UUCCUGUAUAUUAUGCUGGAGGUCUAUCAUCUGAAAGGAUAUUAUCCAGUAUUUUAUCCUGGAUAUAUACAAUCCAGUUUUUUUUUAAGCGCUAUUAUCCAGUAUAUUUAUGAUGGAUAAGUGUAAAUGUCACGACCCAAAAUCUCACCACAGGCGUCGUGAUGGCACUUAGUCUCUAAGACUAGGUAAGCCGAUUAAAAUUACAAUUCAAGUCAAUUUUAUUUUUAAUGAUAAUUGAAACCAACAGUGGAAAUAAUUACAAACAACCUCCUAAGACUGGUAAUACUGAAUCACGAACUCUAACUGAAUACAUAAAAUAAUCUCAAAGAUUGAAUACUCAAUACUGUUUGAUUAAUAAUUGAAAGUAUAAUAAAAUGGAAAGACUCCAAGGGACUGCGACGACCAAGCAGCUAUACCUUGAAUCCUUGCGAUAACACUUUAACUCUGUCCGAGUCCGAUAUCUCCAAUUCUUAGCUCUGCACAAAAAUGUGCAGAAGUGUAGUAUGAGUACAGCACAGUCGGUACCCAGUAAGUAUCAAGACUAACCUCAGUGGAGUAGUGGCGAGGUACAGUCAAGACACUCACUAGUCUAAUAACCUAUGCAAUAUAGUAUACAAAAAUAAUAGGAAACAAAUAACAAUAAUGGCAACAAUAAUCAACUAGUGAUAUACACAACAGGGCAACAAGAACACCAUUUAUAUUGCUCAACAAAUGAUGAAUACAAGUACAACCAAUUAAUCAAGUCAUUCAAAUAUAAAUCUUUCGCCUAUAUGUUUGUCAAAUAAUAAUCUUCAGGAUAUAAUACUUUUCAAUAAAUAUAUUUCGAAUAUACUCCCUUCAAACAAAUAUUUUUCGAAUAAAAGUCACCCUAUGACACCUCAUUUCAAAAUCAUAAAAUAAGGGUCUCAGCCCACUUUCAUAUUUGCACAGCACCUCGUGCCAAUUUCCACAUAACAACCGCACGGACAACUCACUUGCCAAUAUCAUCAUCAUCAUUUACUCACGGCACCUCGUUCCUACAUUUCAUAUCACAACUGCACGGAUAAUUCAUGUGCCAAUAUUAUCAUUUUGUUCACUCACGGUACCUCGUGCCCACAUUUGAUUUCAUAAUCCGCCUGGCAAUAGCCACAAGCUCCCAAUUUCAACAUAGAUCAGACUAUUAUUAAUUUACCAACAACAAGACAAAUUGUGCAAGAUAUAAAAAUAAACACAAGGAAAAUCACAACAUCACAUGAAAAUUACCAACGCAAUACCCCACAUCAUCACAUAAAAAUUACCAACACAAUAACUCCACAUCAUCAUGUAUCAUCCGUGACAAUAGCCACCCUUAUCUCUUCUAUAGACACCCUUAUCCCUCCUCUAUGACAAUGUCAAUAGCCACUCUUAUCGCUCCAUAUAAUAGCCACCCUUAUUACUCCGCCCAGACAAUAUACCAACACACAUAUCCACAGUGAAAUGCCACCCUUAUAUCCUCAUAAUAAUAACUCGAAUCACACAAUAAUUUACACGGAAUAUUAUCACGACAACACAACACAAUCAAUUCCCAUCACAAUUUGCCAAAUGACCACAACCAGUUCCACUGAUACAGUAAAAUCAAUAAAUUUCUCAAAAAUAGCCCAAGGCUCCAUGCAACGUAUAUAAAACCUCAAAACAAUCAACAGAGAUGGAACAUAUCUAGUAUAGGUUAACGCCUUCAUUAAUCCAAUUUCUUGAUAAAUAUAUUAAUACCUCCAUUUAACUUAUUUAAUUAAUUAUUUGCAUACGGAAAAAUUCAUAAUAUAAUUAUUUUCAGGAAUUAUCAAAUCCACAAACACACAAAAUUUACGUAAAAUUCCAAGUCGCAAUCGCACCAAUUUAUCAAAUAAAUAUAAACUCAACAAACAAAGAUUGAGGCAUGACAAAUCACGGAUUUACUAAGUUUCCAUAAUUUUCAAAUUUAAUACAUAAGGGCGUCUACUUGACCCAUAUAAUUUGCACAUAUAAACCAAGUACAUACUCGUCACCUUGCGUACAUGGUUUUCAAUUACACAAUUUCCACAUAAGACUCAAUGCCUAAGGGGUAAUUCCCCCACUCAAAGUUAGACAAGAUACUUACCUCAAAACCGCGUAAUUUCUUACUACGCUAUGCCCUUGCCUCGUGAAUUGGUCUCCAAACGUCCCGAAUCUUUUGUAUAGCAAAGUUUUCUCCAGAUUUUGAUUAAGCAAGAACCACUUAAUACAGAAACAACAUUACUCAGAGAUGAACUAGAAACCAAAUCUGACAAUAGCACCUUGAUUGCAUUUCAAAUCUGGACCGAUAUCGCAGACCAUAUAACUUGAACAAUACCCACCGUAACGGCAACAUCAGUUGGAGUUCAAAUCUAGAGAUCUAGCCCAAAAUAUACCCUUAAUAUUCAACCCAUUUCUGAUUUCUAAUUCACUGAUAAUUUUGACAAAGAAAAUGAUAAAGGACGGUGGUGGGGGAGCUUUAAAAAUAGAAAAAGGGUGGUGUUGCAGUCAAGGAAAGUUCAUGGGAGGAGCUUUUGUUAAUUUGUGGUCCAAACAUUGGUUGAACAGAGGUGAUGGAAUUAAGUAGUUUCUAUGUUAAAAGUCUGUGAAAAGAACUGAAAUGUUGGUGGAGCUUUGUGUAGAUGGAGGAAAUUUUGCCAAAUGGAGAAGAUGAGCAAAAUUUUUCCUUUUCCCCUCUCUGUUCUCCAAACCGUGUGGACCCCAAUGCAACUUGAUUGUGUAUUAUCAAUGAUUUUUGUGAGUUGCGUGAGAUGUCAAGGUGAGGUUUCUAGAGUGAUGCCCAAGAAAAUUGAAUA
Molecule: long non-coding RNA, 2804 nt
Filed under: Nicotiana tabacum (common tobacco)
Lineage: Eukaryota; Viridiplantae; Streptophyta; Magnoliopsida; Solanales; Solanaceae
Description: long non-coding RNA (NTAB_LNC003537)
Source: RNAcentral